CCACCCUGAACGCGCCCGAUCUCAUCUGAUCUCAGAAGCUAAGCAGGGUCGGGCCUGGUUAGUACUUGGAUGGGAGCCCUACUGAUAAUCUUGAU
Molecule: ribosomal RNA, 95 nt
Organism: Mustela putorius furo (domestic ferret)
Lineage: Eukaryota; Metazoa; Chordata; Mammalia; Carnivora; Mustelidae
Source: Ensembl